Molecule: unclassified non-coding RNA, 345 nt
Filed under: soil metagenome
Description: partial contains 5.8S ribosomal RNA, internal transcribed spacer 2, and large subunit ribosomal RNA
Rfam family: 5.8S ribosomal RNA (bases 1-119)
Source: RNAcentral
GAUGAAGAACGCAGCGAAAUGCGAUACGUAAUGUGAAUUGCAAAUUCAGUGAAUCAUCGAGUCUUUGAACGCACAUUGCGCCCCCUGGUAUUCCGGGGGGCAUGCCUGUCCGAGCGUCAUUGCUGCCCUCAAGCACGGCUUGUGUGUUGGGCCCCGUCCUCCGAUCCCGGGGGACGGGCCCGAAAGGCAGCGGCGGCACUGCGUCCGGUCCUCGAGCGUAUGGGGCUUUGUCACCCGCUCUGUAGGCCCGGCCGGCGCUUGCCGAUCAACCCAAAUUUUUAUCCAGGUUGACCUCGGAUCAGGUAGGGAUACCCGCUGAACUUAAGCAUAUCAAUAAGCGGAGGA